GGACCAGUUUGUACGCCAGUAUUUCUUGCUAAGAUACGGGUCCGGGAUACCUCACUGUGCGAAUGCGGGUUCGAUGAAGGCACCGUAGAUCACAUUUUCUUUUCUUGUCCGAGAUUCAAUUACUCUUUGUAUGAUGUGCUACCUGAAAAUAUUCCACGACCUAUAAAUUUCUACUCACUUCUCACUCUAAUGGACCCGCCUCUAACUUCUAUUCUUAUUAAGUAUAUACAGGAGCAUGAUAUAAAACUUUAAUUUUUACUCUUACUAUAUUUCUAUCUAUCUAUAUAUUUUAAUUUCUAUGUUUUUUCCUCCAUUUCAUCCGCUAUGUUGCUUGCCUUAACAAUCUGUCAUCCGCUUUCCGCUCUUUUUACUAAUGUUGGUAUUAUGUCAAAUGUGUCAUGUCAUGUGUUUGUCUGUGUUGUCCAUAAUAUUUGUUUGUUUUAGGUUCCCAGUCUAUCCUUCCACAAAAAUCAAAAUUAAACCGAACAUUUUCUGCUCACAUAAGUCAAAAGUCCACACCUCGACAUUGGCAGAAUCCACCUUGCUAAAUUAGCGAGGAGUAAAAGCCAUUUAUGGAAAAAAAAAAAAAAAAAAAAUGUUCUUUGAUUCCUCCGCUAUUUCAUUCAAUGUCUAUUUAAUUUACAGUCAGUACAUUUUUUAAGAUUGUACUUCUACGACUUUUUACAAAUAUAGCUCGCAAUGGACCCCAAUGGUUACAGAAAGUGUGUUAAAUGCGGAACAACACGUAAUCAAGAUAAUACAAUUACAAUGCACCGUUUCCCUUUCCCGGGAACAAAUAAUAUUUUAAAGGCAAUGGCGUGGGCUUCGUAUUGCUGGCCUGAUCAAGACUGCUCUUCCGUAAAGGAUCUGACCUCGCUCUUUUAUAAGCACAAAGUUAUAUGUAGCAGACAUUUUCAAGAUACCAUGUUUAUUGAUGAUUCCAAGAAACGUCUCUCCAGAUAUGCAGUCCCGGGAACAAAGGAAUUUGUAACCAAUAUUUUGCAAUCAUUAAAGACCAAAAUAUCAGUAGCUUCAAUAGUACAACAGGUUCACUUGUCACUCGAUCAUUCUGUGGCUGGUUGUACAACAGGUCUUCAGUCUUGUAAGUAUUUAUUCUUUUUAUUAGAUAGUGAAAUUUCAAUCAUUUAAAUUACAACAAAUCUACAAAAUUGCAUUUAGCAGUUUACAGAUCAAUUUUACGUAUUUUAGAAACUUUUAAGUGAUAAACUAUUUUAUUUAGAAACUUACAAUAAGUUUACAAAAGUAUUACAUAUUUGUGAGAAAAGGAUUAUUUCAUCUAAAAGAAGUCAAGUUUCUGGAACUGGAAUACUCAAGUCUCUCAAAAAUUCUGGUAAGUAUACUUUUGUAAAUAUUUAUUUAUAUAAUAUUAUUUUAUGUAAUUUCCUUUCCUACCAAAAAUAUUUGUAAAGUUUUUUUUUAAGGUGGAUAUAUUUAGGAGACAGUUUCCCUAACAAUAACACCAACAUAACACUUGUCCUUAUAAGUUUCAGAAUGAUUCACAAGGGUGUCAAAUAAUGAAACUGGAAUUUUAUGAAUGUAUGAAGACCAACAUGGAGUAAGUAAUGUAUUUUGUGGUUACUAAACAGGCCGGGAAAUAGAGUAGCCCAUAUUUGUCAGCACCUAGCCCAUGAUCUACUAAUA
This is a long non-coding RNA of Cydia pomonella (codling moth), 1662 nucleotides long. RefSeq lists it as uncharacterized. Lineage: Eukaryota; Metazoa; Arthropoda; Insecta; Lepidoptera; Tortricidae. The record is from RefSeq and is a predicted model, not a curated record. The transcript is spliced from 3 exons.